AUUUAAAAGACAGUAGUUAAAUUCUACUAUUAAGGG
Molecule: transfer RNA, 36 nt
Filed under: Diadema mexicanum
Lineage: Eukaryota; Metazoa; Echinodermata; Echinoidea; Diadematoida; Diadematidae
Description: partial tRNA-Lys
Source: RNAcentral